Molecule: transfer RNA, 74 nt
Filed under: Elusimicrobia bacterium HGW-Elusimicrobia-1
Lineage: Bacteria; Pseudomonadati; Elusimicrobiota
Description: tRNA-Arg
Rfam family: tRNA
About the family: Transfer RNA (tRNA) molecules are approximately 80 nucleotides in length.
Source: RNAcentral
GCCCCCAUAGCUCAACUGGAUAGAGUGAACGGCUUCGAACCGUUAGGUUGCAGGUUCAAGUCCUGCUGGGGGCG